Molecule: long non-coding RNA, 3278 nt
Organism: Dermacentor andersoni
Lineage: Eukaryota; Metazoa; Arthropoda; Arachnida; Ixodida; Ixodidae
Source: RefSeq, a predicted model, not a curated record
AGCGGCAUGUACUACGACUGCUGAACACGCUUCGCUUCAUGCUAGAACAACAAGCAGACACUUUGAACAAGUUGUGCGAUAUGCUCCCUACUUCUUCAGUCACCGAAUGCGCAGAUCUCUUAGGCCAUCCAGUAAGCAGUCUUGAAGAACUACAAGAGUUUGAUGACAAGCUCGAUGCUGGAAAAUUUAAGAUCCUGGUAAGCUAUGUUUCUUUCUUGCUUUCUUGUUUCAGUUAAUCGAACUCAUAAUGAAUAUUCAAAAUGUUGAAACACUGAAGUUUUGCAAUAUGAAGAAUGUUAUGGGUUUUUCGUACAUUGCUUACUUGCCUUAUGACUUAAUACUCUUUUUCAUAUUCUAAAACAAUCAAAUCACCCAAGUUUCUUUGUUGAAAAGAAUUUCUUCUCUUUUGUACACAUGUACAUGAGUUGACACAGCUCGGUGGGAAAGAUGCCUACUGGGCAACAAAAAGAAUCUUGUCAUACUGCAUCACGGACGAGGUUGCGGCACAAUUUUCCUGGAUGAGUCGAAAAGGAAAACUGAGCUUCCCCGCCUUGAAGAUUGCUAAAGCCAUAGCAGAUGGUGCUCGCAAAGCGCCAAACGCAACUGCUGCUGAUGUUGAGGCCUCUAUCAAAUCGUGGCUCCGGCUUGCCCCCGAGCGCCUUGCCACCAAAUUUCAGAAGCCAUAGCAAAGACAACUUGAGCAGGCAGCAGAUACUGACUGAAACUGUCACCACGGCAGAGGGUCCAAGGCUUCCAGCUUCUGAUUUCCUGGUCAUUCUGUGGAUAUUGAUGGCAGCAGGUAGCACAUGGCAAAGACAAGGACCCUGCACUGUUGGCAACCAGCUCAACCACACCUUCAUGGGGAUUUCUCAACCGAUGUGCCACCUCCACACUUCAGUAUAGUACCUUUUCUUUAAAAAAUGUGAAGAGUGCUGUCACAAUUCAUGUUUUGCAGGUAGCAUCCACUUUAGGCAUUUGGGGUUAUGUGCAACAUAGUGUUUCUUUUUGUUUGAUGAAUAAUUUUUUAAAGAUACAGCUGAACUAAAGAACAUUGCAAGUUCGACUUUUGACUUGUGUCCACAUUAUAGUGUAUCUGUGUUAUCUACUGUUAUAGUGAUCUUCAAAGUCCUGAGCAGUUUAUGUUGCAUUGUUACCAAGUGCUUUGGAGACUGUUGCAGUCAUACGAGAUAGGUGAAAAUGUCUAGUCAGCUGUAAACGCUGUACAGGUCCAGUUUCCACGUAUUGCCCACUCCUCUGGAACACACGGUAACUCUCAUUCCAUUGCUGCUUUCUGUACCUGCCUUCAGGCAGCAACACAAGCUUAUGCUAGUGCCACUUUGGAAGCAGCUUGCAUUCCUGGAAGCGAAGGCAAUUUUACUUUGUUUACUUAAAAGCCAGUUAAGUAACUGCCAUGUAUUAAAUUGAAUGAUCCAGACCAUAAAAUGCUCUUUUUGACUAAUUUCAGCAAGGAUGGGGAACCAAUAAGUGCGAAUUUUUAAAUAAGAAUUUAAGCUAAAUAUUGGUGCUCUUGUAUGUAUGUUUACCAUUUGUAACAUUUUCUAGCACUAUGAGGCAGUAUCUGUGUUAUAAGUUUUGCUACCAAACUCUUAAAUGCAGCGUACUCCAUUUCUAAGCAAUUAGUUUCAUACUCGAGAAGGUCACUUUUUUUUGAAGCUACUGACAGAACUUUGUUCUGCAGUUGUGCACAUAGUGAAGUUCGUGGUUUUUUGUUUGCACUGCUGACUGGGUUUAAUGUUCAGAUAUUGUGAAAAUAGUUCUAUAAGUUAAAUUCUCGUGCUGCAGCUGUAUUGUAAUAUGCUAAUAUAUCCCUCAACUGCUUUGCAGAGCUUAGGAUACUACAGAGUUACUCCCUAAGUGUAAUUAAUGGCUGUAUUGUGAUAACUAAAGCACUUUACUGAUAGUAAGCUCAACAGCUCUUACAUGAAUUGUUCUCUGUUGCAAAUGAUGUUGCGAUACAUUUUUAUUCUUACCAAUACUAAUGUUAAACUUCUUUAUUCAACGGCUCUUACUAUAUAAUGCGGUAUUUCCCAUUGUGAGUGGCAGUGGCUGCAUUUUUUUUUUUUUGAGGUAGUGUGUAGUUCCCUUUAUUGGUUAUGCUGAAAGAAGGUGGCCUGUGUGCAAUCAUGUAUGUAUUUAAUGCAAUCUAGUCAAAAUCUGUAAGCUAAUGGUGUGCUUGGUCCACAUAUCCCAGCUAUGCUUGGUUUUCUUUGUGUUUCUUAAUUUAAUGUCAUAAAACUUAACUUUUAGAUGUUUUAUGCCCUGACAUUGUAGUAGGGUUGACAUGGUAAAGCCUCUGGUCUUUAUGUUGAAAUUUAAUGUCUUUAUAUGUUUUUAGAUGUAUGUCUCAUGCGCUCAUCUUUUAGUUACUUUAGAGGUUUAUUUGCAUAUGUAGACGCCAUGACCAUUUGUACGGAUAUUGUUGUGCUAGGCGAGAAUAACGACUGUGACAGAUUGAUGGCAUUAUGUUUCUGUGAAUGAAAGUGCCCUUAUGUAUUGUUUCUGGUGGCAAGAGACAAGUCUCUCAUCAUAUCGUGCUUUGGAGUAUAUAUAUUUAGUGAAAUCUAGUCAGAAUCUGUAAACUAAUGGUGGGCUUGGUCCACAUGUCCCAGCUAUGCUUGUUUUUCUUGGUGGUUUUUAAUUUGACAUAAAACUGAACUUUUAGAUAAGUUUUAUGCACUCACUUUCUAACUGGGUUGAUGCAACAGAGCUCGUGUUUAUGUUGGAAUUUAAUGUCUUUAAAUGUUUUUAGCUGUGUCUCAUGCACUCAUCUUUCAAUAAAGUUGCUUCAGAGGUUUAUUUGCAUAUGUAGAAACUAUUGAACGUUAACCAUGUCCAUCUGUACGGAUAUUGUUGUGCUUGACAAGAAUAACGGCUGUGACAGAUUCAUGGCAUUAUGUUUCUGUGAAUGAAAGUGACCUUAUUUAUUGUUUCUGGUGGCAAGAGACAAGUCUCAUCAUAUCGUGCUUUGCAGUUGUAUAUAUUUAGUGCUUGGUGUUGUCUUUGUGUUAGGUUUACUAAAGUAUAGUUUCCUAAAAAAUGUGUAAAGAUUUGAGUUGACCAGCUGAUCAACCCCGAUAUUUCUAUGUUUUUUUCUGAUGCACUAGAGCUGGUGACACUACAUCCACUUGCAGGCUAUUUGGUUUAAGCAUUGGAGAUAGGCUUUGCAGUGCUUGUUCUGUGGAUGCAGAAGCUCUUCUACUGUGAUAACACAAGACCAAAUCCCACUGUUUCUUGCUUCUUUUUGCUUUCCUGUGAAU